This 253-nucleotide ribosomal RNA is filed under the name uncultured bacterium. RNAcentral's name for it is "partial 16S ribosomal RNA". It matches the Rfam family "Bacterial small subunit ribosomal RNA", at positions 524 to 776 of the family's 1533-position model. The record is from RNAcentral.
UACGGGGGGGGCAAGCGUUGUUCGGAAUUACUGGGCGUAAAGGGCUCGUAGGCGGCCAACUAAGUCAGACGUGAAAUCCCUCGGCUUAACCGGGGAACUGCGUCUGAUACUGGAUGGCUUGAAUCCGGGAGAGGGAUGCGGAAUUCCAGGUGUAGCGGUGAAAUGCGUAGAUAUCUGUAGGAACACCGGUGGCGAAGGCGGCAUCCUGGACCGGCAUUGACGCUGAGGAGCGAAAGCCAGGGGAGCAAACGGG